RNAcentral lists this ribosomal RNA (253 nucleotides) under uncultured bacterium. RNAcentral describes it as "partial 16S ribosomal RNA". It matches the Rfam family "Bacterial small subunit ribosomal RNA", at positions 524 to 776 of the family's 1533-position model. The record is from RNAcentral.
UACGUAGGGUGCGAGCGUCGUCCGGAAUUAUUGGGCGUAAAGAGCUCGUAGGCGGCCUGUCGCGUCGGAUGUGAAAGCCCGGGGCUUAACCCCGGGUCUGCAUUCGAUACGGGCAGGCUGGAGUUCGGCAGGGGAGAUCGGAAUUCCUGGUGUAGCGGUGAAAUGCGCAGAUAUCAGGAGGAACACCGGUGGCGAAGGCGGAUCUCUGGGCCGAUACUGACGCUGAGGAGCGAAAGCGUGGGGAGCGAACAGG